AAUCCGACGGUUGAGAAAAAAACAAUUAGUCUACGGCUCGGAUGUAAGAUUGACCCUAAUUCUUCACUGCAUACCCAACUCAAUCUUCUUCUGCAACAGCUACAACACCAGAGCAUCCAAUCUGUUUCAAGUUCCAACAACAACUCACUUCUUCCUAGCAGUAACUUCAUCUUCCAAUUCCUUCGACCCACUUCAACAGCGAUCACCAUAAUCAAACAAACCUUAAGAACCCUAAUUUACUGAUUUAAUGAAACCCCAAAUUUCACUAAAUGGAAUCCCAAAUUUCUGAAUCAAACAAACUCUCAAUUUCACUAAGGGGAAACCCAGAGUGCUGAAUCAAAUCAAAACCUCAAUUUCUGUUUCUUGAUCUUCUCGUACACAACCACGAGUCGAUGACAGCAACACUAAUUAGAAUCUUUCUCUUCCAUUAUCUUCUCUCUGAUUCUUAGCUGAAUCCAGUUCAUAAUACCCUUCAAUCAAUCGACCCCAAUUUCAGCAGCAACACUAGUUCUUUCCUUAUUGCUUUAGAAAACCAAAAACCCCAGAUUUAAUUGUUUAUUGUUGCCGCUGUCGCCUGAAUUCGAAAACCAUCAGCUACACCAAUCUUAGAUGACCUAGAAACCCCCCAAAUCUGUAGCAACAACCACCACUGCGUCAGAUCCCCUUUCUGUGCUCUUCAAUCGCCAUGAUAACCUAACUUCGCUGUUGAAGAAUGAAUUCAGAUCACAUUUGAAAACCCAUGAAUCCAUCGUUGGCGUUGCUGCUGUUGGAAGAGGUCCGGAACUCCACCGUCAAUAAUUGUACCAGAGGUCAACAUUAGUGAAUUGGUGCAUAAGUAGCUGUAAUGAGAAUCGCAACUGGUUUUUGCAAUUCAAAUGAAAUCCAGGAAGACCCCUUCCCCCUAGUCUUAUAGAAUCCAUGUAAUUUCAGCAAUCCUUUGUGAUUUCAAUAUAAUGUCAAAUUUGUGUAAUAAAAUUA
Long non-coding RNA from Papaver somniferum (opium poppy), 978 nucleotides. RefSeq lists it as uncharacterized. Lineage: Eukaryota; Viridiplantae; Streptophyta; Magnoliopsida; Ranunculales; Papaveraceae. The record is from RefSeq and is a predicted model, not a curated record. The transcript has 3 exons.